Molecule: ribosomal RNA, 378 nt
Filed under: uncultured bacterium
Lineage: Bacteria
Description: bacterial SSU rRNA
Rfam family: Bacterial small subunit ribosomal RNA
Source: RNAcentral
UAAUACGGAGGGUGCAAGCGUUAAUCGGAAUUACUGGGCGUAAAGCGCACGCAGGCGGUUUGUUAAGUCAGAUGUGAAAUCCCCGAGCUUAACUUGGGAACUGCAUUUGAAACUGGCAAGCUAGAGUCUUGUAGAGGGGGGUAGAAUUCCAGGUGUAGCGGUGAAAUGCGUAGAGAUCUGGAGGAAUACCGGUGGCGAAGGCGGCCCCCUGGACAAAGACUGAAGCUCAGGUGCGAAAGCGUGGGGAGCAAACAGGAUUAGAUACCCUGGUAGUCCACGCUGUAAACGAUGUCGACUUGGAGGUUGUGCCCUUGAGGUGUGGCUUCCGGAGCUAACGCGUUAAGUCGACCGCCUGGGGAGUACGGCCGCAAGGUUAAA